This 253-nucleotide ribosomal RNA is filed under the name uncultured bacterium. RNAcentral describes it as "partial 16S ribosomal RNA". It matches the Rfam family "Bacterial small subunit ribosomal RNA", at positions 524 to 776 of the family's 1533-position model. The record is from RNAcentral.
UACGGAGGAGGCAAGCGUUAUCCGGAAUUAUUGGGCGUAAAGCGUCCGCAGGUGGCACUUCAAGUCUGUCGUCAAAGACUGGGGCUUAACCCUGGAAAGGCGGUGGAAACUGAAGCGCUAGAGUGCGGUAGGGGUAGAGGGAAUUCCCGGUGUAGCGGUGAAAUGCGCAGAUAUCAGGAGGAACACCAAUUGCGAAGGCAGCUCGCUGGGACGUUACUGACGCUGAGACGCGAAAGCGUGGGGAGCAAACAGG